RNAcentral lists this ribosomal RNA (487 nucleotides) under uncultured bacterium. Its description in RNAcentral is "bacterial SSU rRNA". It matches the Rfam family "Bacterial small subunit ribosomal RNA", at positions 1 to 507 of the family's 1533-position model. The record is from RNAcentral.
CGACGUAGUUUGAUCAGUGGCUACGAGGACGACGCUGGCGGCGUGCCUAACACAUGCAAGUCGAACGGAGUUACCCUUCGGGGUAGCUUAGUGGCGAACGGGUGAGUAACGCGUGAAGAACCUGCCUUUCAGUGGGGGACAACAGUUGGAAACGACUGCUAAUACCGCAUAAUGUUUCGAGAGGGCAUCCUUUUGAAACCAAAGCUUUAUGUGCUGAAAGAUGGUCUCGCGUCUGAUUAGCUAGUUGGUGAGGUAACGGCUCACCAAGGCGACGAUCAGUAGCCGGUCUGAGAGGAUGAACGGCCACAUUGGAACUGAGAUACGGUCCAGACUCCUACGGGAGGCAGCAGUGGGGAAUAUUGGGCAAUGGGCGAAAGCCUGACCCAGCGACGCCGCGUGAGGGAAGAAGGUCUUCGGAUUGUAAACCUUUGUAGACAGGGACGAAUAAAUGACGGUACCUGUAAAGUAAGCCACGGCUAACUACGUG